GUGAAAAGGACGUCAGGCAGUCCACCUCUCAUUCUGGCUAUUUUACCAAAUUAUUAAUACAAAUGAUAUCCAUCCCUUGCAAGGGGAUCUAGUCCAGGAGUUCUGAAGACGGUAAAUUAACCAAGUCCAGGAGACUAGGCCUGGGAGAAAUUUGGCAUGAUGUAAUGAGCAAUAAAGAAACAAGCUGAAUACCAGGAAUUUUCUUCAAUACCCCUUAAAUGGAAAUCAGCACUUCAACUGCCUCCCAGUGGGAAGACAUCACCUGGCCUCAUCAGUAGUAAGACCCAUACACACAAGGAAUAUCAUGUAAUAGCAGGUAGGACAGGCCUACCCUAUUUCCCAGGCAGCAUAAACGUCAGUCUUCAUACCCACUGUGUCAACAAUGACACAGUACCAUUCUCCGACCCGUGUCUCCAGGCAAGAAGACUGACAAAAGUGUAUAGGGUAAUAACAGUGUACAAUCAAUGUGUACAACCCCAAAAAAAGUACAUUAUAACGCGUCCUGACAUCGGAGAUGGGCAUCAGACGCGACUUCUUGUUGGUGAGAAAUGGAGCUAAAGACCUCUACUCCGGUGUCAGGACGCGUUAUAAUUUACUUUUCUUGGGGUUGUACACAUUGAUCGUACAUGGUCCACCCCUGUACCAUGCGGUUUUUUACCCUAUGCAUACAAAUAGUAUUAUUAUUCUCGUAUCUUAAUGUCGUGGCAGGGAAAAUCCUCCCGCGACAUUUGGUGGCAGCGGUGGGAUCUGUAGCCCUGUGCUAUUGAUCCAGACCCUCUGUGCCUAUUUAUUAUGUAGGUCACUUAAAAUGUUUUGUCGUAUUGUAUGCAUUUCAUUGUACAAUAUUGUUGAUUUUUGUCUGAUUAAGGUCAUGACUUGUUUACAUGCAUAUUCAUUAUUUCUGUAGGAAGAUGUACGGCAUUGUCUCUUGAUGUAGUUUACUUUGUAUUAUUUGAUUAUAUAUGUUAGUGUUUGAAAUAUUGUAACAAUGGCGACUGGAACUGAUGAAUCAUAUAUUGAUCUAAUUCAGUUAGAACAAGAAACACAACAAACAUUACAGACAGUUAAGAGCUUCACUCAAUCCUACCAGGACAUUUGGUCUCAAGUGGGAGAUUUAACAAAUCAAAUCAAGGACUUGGACCAGAAGUUGGUUGACAUACAGGGUACAAUACAACACUUAACACCCAGCCAUAAUAACACUUAACCAUCCAUAAUGUCUACACCACAUACGUCUCACAUUUCAAGUAAUGAACAAAGGAAUAAUGUAAAACAUUUUGUACAAGAAUUCACAUAGUGCCCUGGUUGGGAAUGUGAUUGUGGUCUUAUGGGUCUUGUCUUAUAGGAUAUUGUCAGAGUUUUGCUCUUGUACUGGUUUGGUACAUCUUAGAGGAUAGAGUACACCACUUUCCAAACCCCUUUGAGAUUCAAGUUUAGAGUCGUUUCUAA
Macrobrachium nipponense is the source of this 1446-nucleotide long non-coding RNA. RefSeq lists it as uncharacterized. NCBI's taxonomy places the organism in Eukaryota, Metazoa, Arthropoda, Malacostraca, Decapoda, Palaemonidae. The transcript has 2 exons. The record is from RefSeq and is a predicted model, not a curated record.